RNAcentral lists this ribosomal RNA (440 nucleotides) under uncultured bacterium. RNAcentral's name for it is "partial 16S ribosomal RNA". It matches the Rfam family "Bacterial small subunit ribosomal RNA", at positions 338 to 795 of the family's 1533-position model. The record is from RNAcentral.
CCUACGGGAGGCAGCAGUGGGGGAUAUUGCACAAUGGAGGGAACUCUGAUGCAGCGACGCCGCGUGAGGGAAGAAGGUUUUCGGAUUGUAAACCUCUGUCUUCGGUGACGAAACGAGACGGUAGCCGAGGAGGACGCCACGGCUAACUACGUGACAGCAGCCGCGGUCAUACGUAGGUGGCAAGCGGUGUCCGGAAUUACUGGGUGUAACGGGUGCGUAGGCGGAAAAGCAAGUUGAAUGUUUAAGGUACGGGCUCAACCUGUACGAGGGUUCGAAACUGGUUUUCUUGAGUGGGGUAGAGGUAAGCGGAAUGCCUAGUGUAGCGGUGAAAUGCGUAAAUAUCAGGAAGAACUCCGAUGGCGAAGGCAGCUUACCGGCGCUUAACUGACGCUGAUGCUCGAAAGCGUGGGUAGCGAACAGGAUUAGAUACCCCUGUAGUC